Molecule: ribosomal RNA, 751 nt
Filed under: uncultured bacterium
Lineage: Bacteria
Description: bacterial SSU rRNA
Rfam family: Bacterial small subunit ribosomal RNA
Source: RNAcentral
CAUGUGUAGCGGUGAAAUGCGUAGAUAUAUGGAGGAACACCGGUGGCGAAAGCGGCUCUCUGGUCUGUAACUGACGCUGAGGCUCGAAAGCGUGGGGAGCGAACAGGAUUAGAUACCCUGGUAGUNCACGCCGUAAACGAUGAGUGCUAGGUGUUAGGCCCUUUCCGGGGCUUAGUGCCGCAGCUAACGCAUUAAGCACUCCGCCUGGGGAGUACGACCGCAAGGUUGAAACUCAAAGGAAGUGACGGGGGCCCGCACAAGCGGUGGAGCAUGUGGUUUAAUUCGAAGCAACGCGAAGAACCUUACCUGGUCUUGACAUCCCGAUGCCCGCUCUAGAGAUAGAGUUUUACUUCGGUACAUCGGUGACAGGUGGUGCAUGGUUGUCGUCAGCUCGUGUCGUGAGAUGUUGGGUUAAGUCCCGCAACGAGCGCAACCCUUAUUGUUAGUUGCCAUCAUUCAGUUGGGCACUCUAGCGAGACUGCCGGUAAUGAACCGGAGGAAGGUGGGGAUGACGUCAAAUCAUCAUGCCCCUUAUGACCUGGGCUACACACGUGCUACAAUGGCUGGUACAACGAGUCGCAAGUCGGUGACGGCAAGCUAAUCUCUUAAAGCCAGUCUCAGUUCGGAUUGUAGGCUGCAACUCGCCUACAUGAAGUCGGAAUCGNUAGUAAUCGCGGAUCAGCACGCCGCGGUGAAUACGUUCCCGGGCCUUGUACACACCGCCCGUCACACCACGAGAGUUUGUAACACC